GAUGAGAACGUAGCGAAAUGCGAUAAGUAGUGUGAAUUGCAGAAUUCAGUGAAUCAUCGAAUCUUUGAACGCACAUUGCGCCCUUUGGUAUUCCUUAGGGCAUGCCUGUUCGAGCGUCAUUUACAAAUUCAAGCUCAGCUUGGUGAUGGGUGUCUGUCCCGCCUUUGCGUGUGGACUCGCCUCAAAUGCAGUUGGCAGCUUGUUCCUCGGCUCUAAACGCAGCAGAUUUGCGUCGAGCGUCGUGCGGACGGGCUCUCCAGUAAGCAAACCCCCACAAAUUGACCUCGGAUCAGGUAGGGAUACCCGCUGAACUUAAGCAUAUCAAUAAGCGGAGGA
RNAcentral lists this unclassified non-coding RNA (336 nucleotides) under soil metagenome. Its description in RNAcentral is "partial contains 5.8S ribosomal RNA, internal transcribed spacer 2, and large subunit ribosomal RNA". The stretch from base 5 to 119 matches the Rfam family "5.8S ribosomal RNA", at positions 40 to 154 of the family's 154-position model. The record is from RNAcentral.